Molecule: ribosomal RNA, 119 nt
Filed under: Pteropus alecto (black flying fox)
Lineage: Eukaryota; Metazoa; Chordata; Mammalia; Chiroptera; Pteropodidae
Also listed under: 1 other name
Source: RNAcentral
GUUUACGGCCAUAGCACCCUGAAUGUGCCCAAUCUCGUCUGAUCUCGAAAGCUAAGCAGGGUCAGGCCUGGUUAGUACUUGGAUAGGAGACCACCUAGGAAUACCAGAUGCUGUAGGCA